GCGGCAUGCUUUACACAUGCAAGUCGAACGGCAGCACGGACUUCGGUCUGGUGGCGAGUGGCGAACGGGUGAGUAAUACAUCGGAACGUGCCUAGUAGUGGGGGAUAACUACUCGAAAGAGUAGCUAAUACCGCAUGAUAUCUGCGGAUGAAAGCAGGGGACCUUCGGGCCUUGUGCUACUAGAGCGGCUGAUGGCAGAUUAGGUAGUUGGUGGGGUAAAGGCUUACCAAGCCCGUGAUCUGUAGCUGGUCUGAGAGGACGACCAGCCACACUGGGACUGAGACACGGCCCAGACUCCUACGGGAGGCAGCAGUGGGGAAUUUUGGACAAUGGGCGAAAGCCUGAUCCAGCAAUGCCGCGUGCAGGAUGAAGGCCCUCGGGUUGUAAACUGCUUUUGUACGGAACGAAAAGCCUGAGGCUAAUAUCCUCGGGUCAUGACGGUACCGUAAGAAUAAGCACCGGCUAACUACGUGCCAGCAGCCGCGGUAAUACGUAGGGUGCAAGCGUUAAUCGGAAUUACUGGGCGUAAAGCGUGCGCAGGCGGUUUUGUAAGACAGUGGUGAAAUCCCCGGGCUCAACCUGGGAACUGCCAUUGUGACUGCAAGGCUGGAGUGCGGCAGAGGGGGAUGGAAUUCCGCGUGUAGCAGUGAAAUGCGUAGAUAUGCGGAGGAACACCGAUGGCGAAGGCAAUCCCCUGGGCCUGCACUGACGCUCAUGCACGAAAGCGUGGGGAGCAAACAGGAUUGUAGUCCACGCCCUAAACGAUGUCAACUGGUUGUUGGGAAUUAACUUUCUCAGUAACGAAGCUAACGCGUAAGUUGACCGCCUGGGGAGUACGGCCGCAAGGUUAAAACUCAAAGGAAUUGACGGGGACCCGCACAAGCGGUGGAUGAUGUGGUUUAAUUCGAUGCAACGCGAAAAACCUUACCCACCUUUGACAUGGCAGGAACUUACCAGAGAUGGUUUGGUCCUGCACACAGGUGCUGCAUGGCUGUCGUCAGCUCGUGUCGUGAGAUGUUGGGUUAAGUCCCGCAACGAGCGCAACCCUUGCCAUUAGUUGCUACAUUCAGUUGAGCACUCUAAUGGGACUGCCGGUGACAAACCGGAGGAAGGUGGGGAUGACGUCAAGUCCUCAUGGCCCUUAUAGGUGGGGCUACACACGUCAUACAAUGGCUGGUACAAAGGGUUGCCAACCCGCGAGGGGGAGCUAAUCCCAUAAAGCCAGUCGUAGUCCGGGUCUGCAACUCGACUGCGUGAAGUCGGAAUCGCUAGUAAUCGUGGAUCAGAAUGUCACGGUGAAUACGUUCCCGGGUCUUGUACACACCGCCCGUCACACCAUGGGAGCGGGUCUCGCCAGAAGUAGGUAGCCUAACCGCAAGGAGGGCGCUUACCACGGCGGGGUUCGUGACUGGGG
Molecule: ribosomal RNA, 1414 nt
Filed under: Comamonas sp. RS18
Lineage: Bacteria; Pseudomonadati; Pseudomonadota; Betaproteobacteria; Burkholderiales; Comamonadaceae
Description: bacterial SSU rRNA
Rfam family: Bacterial small subunit ribosomal RNA
Source: RNAcentral